UAGGGAAUCUUCCGCAAUGGACGAAAGUCUGACGGAGCGACGCCGCGUGAGCGAAGAAGGCCUUCGGGUCGUAAAGCUCUGUUGUGAGGGACGAAGGAGCGCCGUUUGAAUAAGGCGGCGCGGUGACGGUACCUCACGAGAAAGCCCCGGCUAACUACGUGCCAGCAGCCGCGGUAAUACGUAGGGGGCGAGCGUUGUCCGGAAUUAUUGGGCGUAAAGGGCGCGUAGGCGGACGUUUAAGUCAGGGGUGAAAUCCCGGGGCUCAACCUCGGAAUUGCCUUUGAUACUGGAUGUCUCGAGACCGGAAGAGGUAAGUGGAACUGCGAGUGUAGAGGUGAAAUUCGUAGAUAUUCGCAAGAACACCAGUGGCGAAGGCGGCUUACUGGUCCGGUUCUGACGCUGAGGCGCGAAAGCGUGGGGAGCAAACAGGAUUAGAUACCC
This 441-nucleotide ribosomal RNA is filed under the name uncultured bacterium. Its description in RNAcentral is "bacterial SSU rRNA". It matches the Rfam family "Bacterial small subunit ribosomal RNA", at positions 355 to 787 of the family's 1533-position model. The record is from RNAcentral.